CCUACGGGUGGCAGCAGUGGGGAAUAUUGCGCAAUGGGCGAAAGCCUGACGCAGCGACGCCGCGUGAGGGAUGAAGGUCUUCGGAUCGGAAACCUCUGUCAGCAGGGAAGAACGGUCACGGGGCUAAGCAGCAGUGAAUGGACGGUACCGGCAAAGGAAGCACCGGCUAACUCCGUGCCCGCAGCCGCGGUAAUACGGAGGGUGCGAGCGUUAAUCGGAAUGACUGGGCGUCAAGCGCUCGUAGGCGGUAUGUCCAGUCAAGGGUGAAAUCCCCGCGCUCAACGUGGGAACUGCCUUUGCACCUUGCAAACUGGUGUGUGUGAGCGGAUAGUGGACUUCCAUGUGU
Molecule: ribosomal RNA, 346 nt
Filed under: uncultured bacterium
Lineage: Bacteria
Description: partial 16S ribosomal RNA
Rfam family: Bacterial small subunit ribosomal RNA
Source: RNAcentral